UUUAGAGUUUUGAACAGGCUCAGGACGAACGCUGGCGGCGUGCCUAAUACAUGCAAGUCGAGCGGACAGAAGGGAGCUUGCUCCCGGAUGUUAGCGGCGGACGGGUGAGUAACACGUGGGUAACCUGCCUGUAAGACUGGGAUAACUCCGGGAAACCGGAGCUAAUACCGGAUAGUUCCUUGAACCGCAUGGUUCAAGGAUGAAAGACGGUUUCGGCUGUCACUUACAGAUGGACCCGCGGCGCAUUAGCUAGUUGGUGAGGUAACGGCUCACCAAGGCGACGAUGCGUAGCCGACCUGAGAGGGUGAUCGGCCACACUGGGACUGAGACACGGCCCAGACUCCUACGGGAGGCAGCAGUAGGGAAUCUUCCGCAAUGGACGAAAGUCUGACGGAGCAACGCCGCGUGAGUGAUGAAGGUUUUCGGAUCGUAAAGCUCUGUUGUUAGGGAAGAACAAGUGCAAGAGUAACUGCUUGCACCUUGACGGUACCUAACCAGAAAGCCACGGCUAACUACGUGCCAGCAGCCGCGGUAAUACGUAGGUGGCAAGCGUUGUCCGGAAUUAUUGGGCGUAAAGGGCUCGCAGGCGGUUUCUUAAGUCUGAUGUGAAAGCCCCCGGCUCAACCGGGGAGGGUCAUUGGAAACUGGGAAACUUGAGUGCAGAAGAGGAGAGUGGAAUUCCACGUGUAGCGGUGAAAUGCGUAGAGAUGUGGAGGAACACCAGUGGCGAAGGCGACUCUCUGGUCUGUAACUGACGCUGAGGAGCGAAAGCGUGGGGAGCGAACAGGAUUAGAUACCCUGGUAGUCCACGCCGUAAACGAUGAGUGCUAAGUGUUAGGGGGUUUCCGCCCCUUAGUGCUGCAGCUAACGCAUUAAGCACUCCGCCUGGGGAGUACGGUCGCAAGACUGAAACUCAAAGGAAUUGACGGGGGCCCGCACAAGCGGUGGAGCAUGUGGUUUAAUUCGAAGCAACGCGAAGAACCUUACCAGGUCUUGACAUCCUCUGACAACCCUAGAGAUAGGGCUUUCCCUUCGGGGACAGAGUGACAGGUGGUGCAUGGUUGUCGUCAGCUCGUGUCGUGAGAUGUUGGGUUAAGUCCCGCAACGAGCGCAACCCUUGAUCUUAGUUGCCAGCAUUCAGUUGGGCACUCUAAGGUGACUGCCGGUGACAAACCGGAGGAAGGUGGGGAUGACGUCAAAUCAUCAUGCCCCUUAUGACCUGGGCUACACACGUGCUACAAUGGACAGAACAAAGGGCUGCGAGACCGCAAGGUUUAGCCAAUCCCACAAAUCUGUUCUCAGUUCGGAUCGCAGUCUGCAACUCGACUGCGUGAAGCUGGAAUCGCUAGUAAUCGCGGAUCAGCAUGCCGCGGUGGAAUACGUUCCCGGGGCCUUGUACACACCGCCCGUCACACCACGAGAGUUUGCAACACCCGAAGUCGGUGAGGUAACCUUUAUGGAGCCAGCCGCCGAAGGUGGGGCAGAUGAUUGGGGUGAAGUCGUAACAGGGUAAACCGUAAA
RNAcentral lists this ribosomal RNA (1521 nucleotides) under Bacillus altitudinis. RNAcentral's name for it is "bacterial SSU rRNA". It matches the Rfam family "Bacterial small subunit ribosomal RNA". Lineage: Bacteria; Bacillati; Bacillota; Bacilli; Caryophanales; Bacillaceae. The record is from RNAcentral.